This is a long non-coding RNA of Argiope bruennichi, 1472 nucleotides long. RefSeq lists it as uncharacterized. Lineage: Eukaryota; Metazoa; Arthropoda; Arachnida; Araneae; Araneidae. The record is from RefSeq and is a predicted model, not a curated record. The transcript has 2 exons.
UCCCGACAGUUGGGCUGAGCAGAUUGGGUGCGAUAUUUAUCGCUUAUUCGAAUUUUUCUCUGCUGGAUUUACGUUAUCUGCACUAGCGGUUCUGCUAUUUAUCAUGCCAUGCAUGCUGUGCAUAUUUUUCCGUAAAAGAUGCUUUAGCAGGGUUUUCUGAAUUCUGAGCGAGUGCGUUUUUACAAAAGAAAUAGUGCCUUGAUUAGUUUAAGAAGUAAGACGCGCAACUGUUGAUAAUUACGUAGAGGAAAAAAAUUGAUAAGAUUUUUUUUUUAAGAUAGUGAUUACUGCAUACUUAAGAAUUGGAUUUGAUAUCGUUUUUAGAUUCUAAGCACCUUCUUAAGAUACUAACACGAGCACUCGUUUCAGUAAAUGUGUUAAAUUAAAUAAGAUGGGGGAAAAAACAAUUUUAAACCACUCUAUUAUUUAUAUCAAUAGUUGAGAUCGGGAAAAUAAUCAUGUGAUUAUCAAGACGGAUAUUAGAAUUCGGAAUGGUACUUACAGAGGCAACGGGAAUUUAAAUAUCUGCGGGAUUAUUUUUGUAUUCGUUUUGAGUUUCGGUUUCACAUGCGCGUAAACUUGUUUCAGUCGACGAAGCGAAACCAGUGUCGUUGAAGUGUGAAACACCUGCUUAACAUGUGCAAUUUUCGUGACACUUUUAAUCUUGUGGGAAAAUUAACCAGCCUAAAGUGCCAACAUGUGUGGAUUACAUUUCCCUGAUACAUUAAUCUUUUUCUUUAUGGAUUACACGAACCUCUGGAAAUGCCUGUUCCAGUUAAUGCAUCAAUAAAUGGGGUUUGAGUCCUGAUUCUUUCCAGCUCUUCUUGAAGUAUAAACGUUACGAGGAUGCAACGAAAGCAAAAAGAAUUCUAAAACCGUCCGCGCAGAAGACUCUCUUUCAGGCCUCAAAGAUCAAGGGACAGUGGACAAGUCGUUCAAGAGAACAAACACCAAGUCGGCAAGUAACAUUUCCUUCGCGUCCGAACCCUCGCCUUUAUUUUUCUUCUCCCUUCACUUUUUAUUUCACAUUUUUUUCUUUCUUACGGUUCUUAAAUAAAGCAAUUUAUAGCCAAACGACAUCGAUAAAUAAUAAUGCGAAGGAAUUGGGAGGAAGGUGGAUGGAAAAAAGAAAAAGAAGGGUGGUGGUAGUGGGGAGUAAGCAAGCAUCACCCCACCCGCCAACGUUCGAGUACCAGAAACGUGUGUGUCCAUAUUUUAUACGAGCCCCCGAACUGUAUGUUUAAGCAACCUGUCACGCUUCACUUCUUUACCGAUGACAGUUCGAAUUUUGCAACUUGAGAUGAAGGGAGAGCAGGGAGGAGGGAUAUGGGGUUUUUCGAAAAAGCGCGAAUAAGAAGUUUCAAGAACAAAAUGGAGGAAGACAGACCAGUGAUGCAAUAAUAAUAAUAAUAAAACGAAGAAGUUCCUGUGAAAAAAAAAAAAAAAAAAAAAAAACAAUACAAAAAGAGAAA